GUCAGUAGUCUUGAGACUCCUCUUCCGCUCCUGCUUUGAAUCUUCAAUGAUCCUCAAGUUGCUUCAAUCUCCAACAAUCCAAUAUAAACUAGGAUUUAUGUUCUAGUCUAAUCUAUCUAAUCUCCCUUAUUCUAUGCCUUACAUCAUGUAUUUAUAGGUUAAAAGUCUAAUUUUUGGCUUAGGAACAAACCCAAUCCAAUUUGGAGUCAGAAAAGUGUCAAAAUUCACCCCAAAACGCGUCCAAGCCUGACCAAUCCCUUCCCCAGCGCAUCGACGCUGGGCACGGCGCUGGAAAACUGCUCCCUAGCGCCCCGGCGCUGGAACAUUUUCUGAAAUUUUUUGCUCUGACGUCCUUUGUGAAAAUGGCCAUAACUUCUUCGUCCGAACUUCGAAUUCGAUGAUUCAAGAUGUUCCGGAAAGAGGAGACGUAGAUCUACAACUUUCAUUCUUUGAGGUUUUCGAAAUAAGGUCCGGACCAAUACUCAAAUUGGCUUUGAAGUUGGUGCUAUGUAAAUGGCAAGCCGAAAACGCGAAUCUAGCCCCCCAAACGUCGAUCCAAGUAACUUUUGUCCUAAUUCCUACAAAACAACAUAAAACAUGCAUGAAUAGACACAAACACUUAAAAUCAACGUAAAAAAUGCAUGAAUAGACACAAACACUUAAAACUUCCAAAAGAUUAAACUCAAACGCACUCAAUUCAUGGGUAUAAAACUCAUUCAUCAGUGUUCAAUGCAGUCUUACAACUUUCUACAAACAUUAUUAGACCGGAUGUCAAUUAUAAUAACGGAGCACAAUAUUUUCAUGUGCCGCAAAAUGACUCUUUUUCUCUUAAUUAAAGUGUAUAUUAAUUAUACAUGUUGUAUGAAGGUUUUCUUUUCUAUAUUUUAUUAUAAUUGUAUUGGAGUAAUUGAUGGUACACAUAUAAAAGCUGGACUUCCAAAAGGGCAAGAAAUUUCAUACAUUGGGAGAAAAUGCAUUCCUACACAAAACAUAAUGGAUGUAUGUGAUUUUAACAUAUGUUUUAUAUUUGUAUGGCAUGGAUGGGAGGGUAAUGCUCAUGACAAUCGUAUAUUCACACAAGCACUUAUAAGCGAAUAGCUCAAAUUUCGCACCCAACUAGUGGUAUGAUCUCAUAUUUUUAUAUUUUAUUUGUUUAAUUUUAUAUAACAAAUUUUAUUGAUUAAAUUAGCUUAUUGUAUUUUCUUUAUAGAUAAAUAUUCGGUACCUCAUUAUAGAUGGGAAUGGAUACUUGUAAUCAAAGAAUAGAUUGAAUAAAAUUCAAGAACUUGCUUGUACAAAAUUUAGGAAGUUAUAGAUAGAAUAUUUGCUUACAAAGAUCCAUUGCAUAAAAUAAAUGUAAAGGUUAAGAUACUUGCUCAAUAAAGAGUAAGAUUUAGAUACUUGCCUUGACUGUGAACUAUUGAUAAAAAUUCUGCUCAACUUCCUUUCACAGAUCCUAUACAAUCAUAUUCACACAUACAAACAUAUUAGCCAUGUAUCCACAUCAUAUAGUUUGUAUGUUUAUAUAUUACAUAAUCACAGUGGCCAUGUUUUUACUUUUGAGAAACUUCUAUACAUUUUUCAAAUACCUCAUCAUUUUACUACAAUAACCAUUUUUCUCUUUAAUAGAGUUUGAUAUAAUCUCAGUUCAUGAAUUCCACAUACUUUUAGUUUAUAAUCCUUUUGUAAUUUAAUACAUGAGAAUUACAUACUUCUUAUGUAUAACUCAAGCACACAUGGUGAAUACUUGAUUCAUUUUGUGUGUUGGCGUAGUUAUAACUUGUAUAGGUCGAUCAUAGAUUUAUUUCUUACAAGCUAAUGCAUUAAAACUAGCAUGCCUCAACCCAACGUCAAAACAGCCCCUUGAUGCCACGCCAACAGGCAAGCUUUGCUUGGCCCUGUGGGGCUCAGCUGGGCUUGGUGUGGCCUCGCUUGGCCCUGCAUCCCCAAACAUAGCCUAACAGCCCCUAACUUACUAUGCCCCUCCUUGCAAAUUCUAUCUUUUACAUUACCCAUCUAAUUGAGUUGUGGAUUUGCUAUAUAUUCAUACUUGCUUAUUUAGGAGUUGGACAUUAAACUUUAUGGGUAAACUUUUAAACUACGCCAUAAAGCCAAAAAUGGUUGGCCCAAAGCUGCUAUAGCAGCUCUCUACUGCUGUCAUUUAGGCAGCAGUCCCUGCUCCUUAUCUUACGUACUUUCAUCUCCUUAUUUACUAAUUCGGUUGCAAAGGACUUUUGGUAAUUGGAAAUGAUAUAACCACCUAUUAGAAUAACCCAUAAACUACAGAGAAUACAUAAUCUACAUGAACCAAAAUGUUUGCCAAAAACAGCCUCUGCUGUUGCAAAUUGAAGAUUGCUGCCAAUGGCAGCAACUCCUUUCUCUUAGCUUCCAUGUCACUAAUUUUUAUAUUACAAUCUAAUCACUUUAAUAUGCUAAAUUUUUGGAGACAAUAUAGUUAAUAUACUCACUUAUUUUAAAAAAAUACUAAGUAAGUUUUUGAACAACUUAGCUUUGUCAACUGAGAGCUCAAAUUAAAAGAGCCCCCAGCCCAAACAACCCGCUGCUAUUGUUGCUGCCAUAGGCAGUAGCCCUGCACCUAUUAUGGCCAAUUCUCUAUUUUCCUACUUCUAAUUCAUAUGACGGUUUACAUCCAUUUUUAAAUAUGUUGUACCUAGCAUAUGAGAGUAUUUUUCAAAAUUAUAAAGCCUCCCUUUCAGACUCAUUAAGCUGCCCAACACAGCGCUCAAAAAUUAUGUUUUUUUUUAUAAAAAAAAAACAAAAAAAUUACAGGGUGAGCUUGGGGUAAGUUCAAUAAGGGUGAGCUUAAGAUUCUUGCUCAUUAUAUGUAAUAUAUAAAUCUAUCCCAAGCCUUUUUUCUAUCUAAUAUUUGAUUUUUAGUCAAAACAGUCCAUAUAGGACUUUUAUCGAGCAAGUUGUGAGCACUGUUUUGAAAUCUUCUUUUCAUAGCCGUUUGUUUACUCUUCAAUCCCAUUUUAGUCUCCUUAUAACAUCACACAACACAACCAACCUAUCUCCUUUAUUCUAAUUCAAACAACAAAAAUCCAAAACACAAUCAAAUUUAUGCUUAACCAAGUAACUAGCACACUAACUAGUUUAUUUCCUUUUUAUUACAAUUCUUUCGAUUCCCACAUAGCUAUACAAUAUGUCAAUCCUUAUGAUAAUGCAUACCUUGCAUCCAGUUUUAACACUGUUUUACACCAUCAAUUACAUCUAAACUUAUAAAUUACUAACUAAUCAUACAUGAAUCACUUUGGUCUAACAUUGCACUUCUGAUAAAAAUGUAAUCAGGCAAGUUGCAAUACCUUAUACUUGCUUAGCUUAAUCUCGGCUGUCUCAACCAAUACUUGAAGCUUUAAUUUUCAUUAUAUAUUAUCAAUCUCACUCAAACAGCUCCUGCUAAAGAAAUCCCCGUCACACAUAUGGCCUUUAACUUGGUUACAGCUAUAUGAUCCGAAACCUUUACGUAGUACAAGGAAAUUUUUCGUCAGAAAUAAGUUAUUUCUCACCGACAAUUCCAUCUGAAAUAAUUUUUAUUUUAUUUUUUAAAAAUAUUUUUUUUCUUUUUUCUUGUUUUUAUAUGGCCAUAUAUAGUCAUCAGAUAUUAAUUUUAUCAUAUGGUCCAAAUUUAUUUUUGUGAUUUUAUCGGGUAAGCCCAAGCCCAAAAUAAAUUAGCGGGUUGUUAAACUUAUAAAUAUUAUAAUUGACUGAACCAUAUC
This 3737-nucleotide long non-coding RNA is filed under the name Panax ginseng (ginseng). RNAcentral describes it as "long non-coding RNA (PGIN_LNC017047)". The record is from RNAcentral. Lineage: Eukaryota; Viridiplantae; Streptophyta; Magnoliopsida; Apiales; Araliaceae.